Esox lucius (northern pike) is the source of this 1010-nucleotide long non-coding RNA. Lineage: Eukaryota; Metazoa; Chordata; Actinopteri; Esociformes; Esocidae. The record is from Ensembl.
GUCAUGUCGUUGAACAUUCCGGGAGCAGAGCCUGCAUUGUCACCGGAGUACCUUUACCGGAAUUAAGCUUGUAAAGAUUGACUGCUAGGCACGGCAGGGUUUUUACAGUAAUGUUUAACGAAAACAAGAUGUCCAGAUUGAGGUUAUAAACCAAGGACAGACUUUACCCAAGACAGAAGCCUUUCCUGCAAAUAAGUCCUUCAGCAAUGAUGACCAACCCCAAGGUACCCAGUUACCUGACUUACCUUCAUGGAGGCACCACAAGAACAUGCCAGAGAACAAGCUCCCUCAGGCCCUCCCCCGCAACCAGGCCUCACCGUAAUAGAGAUAAACCAGCCAGCCAGGUGUCCCCAAAUAGAGAUAAACCAACCUGCCGGGUGUCCCCCAAUAGAAAUAAACCAGCCAGACAGGUCCCCCCCAACAGAAAUAAACCAGCCAGCCAGGUGUCCCCAAAUAGAAAUAAACCAGCCAGCUGGGUGUCCCCAUCAGAGGUAAACCAGCCAGCCAGGUGUCCCCAGCAGAGAUAAAACAGCCAGCCUAGUGUCCCCAAUAGAGAUAAACCAGCCAGCCAGGUUCCCCCAAAAGAGAAAAAACAGCCAGCCUGGUGUACCCAUUAGAGAUAAGCAAGCUUGACUGGUGUACCCAGAAGAGAUAAAACAGUCUCGUGUUCUGAAUACAGAUAAACCAGCCAGGCAGGUGACAUCAGUAGAGUUAAACCCACCAGUCAAGUGUCCCCGUCUGAGAUAAACCAACCACCCAAGUGUCUCCAGUAGAGAUGAAACAGCCAGCCAAGUGUCUCCGAUAGAGAUGAAACAGUCAGCCAUGUGUAUUCAAAAUAGAUGAGGCAGCCAGCCAAGUGUCCCCAGUAGAGAUGAAGCAGCCAACCAAGUGUCUAAUAGAGAUGAAGCAGCCAGCUUGUAUAAAAUCUCCCUGGUCCCCAAGCAGACCACCAGACACCCACCCUGCUGAUCGAUAUAAUUGUGGUGGUUAGAACCCAAUUGACUGAUUGA